Molecule: ribosomal RNA, 497 nt
Filed under: uncultured bacterium
Lineage: Bacteria
Description: partial 16S ribosomal RNA
Rfam family: Bacterial small subunit ribosomal RNA
Source: RNAcentral
GAUGAACGCUGGCGGCGUGCCUAAUACAUGCAAGUCGAGCGAACAGAUGAGGAGCUUGCUCCUCUGACGUUAGCGGCGGACGGGUGAGUAACACGUGGAUAACCUACCUAUAAGACUGGGAUAACUUCGGGAAACCGGAGCUAAUACCGGAUAAUAUAUUGAACCGCAUGGUUCAAUAGUGAAAGACGGUUUUGCUGUCACUUAUAGAUGGAUCCGCGCCGCAUUAGCUAGUUGGUAAGGUAACGGCUUACCAAGGCAACGAUGCGUAGCCGACCUGAGAGGGUGAUCGGCCACACUGGAACUGAGACACGGUCCAGACUCCUACGGGAGGCAGCAGUAGGGAAUCUUCCGCAAUGGGCGAAAGCCUGACGGAGCAACGCCGCGUGAGUGAUGAAGGCCUUCGGAUCGUAAAACUCUGUUAUUAGGGAAGAACAAAUGUGUAAGUAACUAUGCACGUCUUGACGGUACCUAAUCAGAAAGCCACGGCUAACUACGUG